AUAAAAUAGUAAGUAAGUAAAUUUUAUUUAGAGUCGGCAUAUAUAUACAUAAUAACAAGCAAAACAUGAGCUCUGGUGAGCUCUUUAACCGACUAUCACAUAAAAAAUCAUGCAGCAUCAUGCAAAUACUACCAAAUACAAAUGAAAUAAAAAUGAACCAUGCAAAAUAAUGAAAGCAAAACUAUUUGAUUUGUGAGCCUCCAGAGUCAAAGUUCAUGUGGC
RNAcentral lists this long non-coding RNA (222 nucleotides) under Mytilus galloprovincialis (Mediterranean mussel). The record is from RNAcentral. Lineage: Eukaryota; Metazoa; Mollusca; Bivalvia; Mytilida; Mytilidae.